Molecule: long non-coding RNA, 4867 nt
Filed under: Heterocephalus glaber (naked mole-rat)
Lineage: Eukaryota; Metazoa; Chordata; Mammalia; Rodentia; Bathyergidae
Description: lncRNA (ENSHGLG00000046388.1)
Source: RNAcentral
CUGAUUUCCUGAGGGCGACAAGUACAGUCCCAUCUGGUGAGCAAGGACAAGUUGUCCUCACAAAGCAGAGUCGGAGGCUAAGGGGUCCUGACCCACCCUCGAGGCUCUGGGGGAGGGCACCAGGUGGGGCUCUUUCCUGAGGCCUCUCCUGUGUUCCUGGGGUCUGACAGUUGCCCAAGCACCUCAAGGUGGCCAUGAUCCCAGCGCUGACUACCUGGCCCAAUGCCAGAGCCACUGCUGUGUCCAAGCUCCCCCUCCCCGACCUCUUGGUCCCUGGGACUCCUGCACACAUCAGCACGUGCUAAAAGUCCUCUGAAAUUCCACAGGGCAGUGAAAGGAUGGAGCCAAAGCCACACCCUGCUGUUUAUGGUGACUGAGCCAUGUCCACAUCUCUGCUCCCCAGUGAGGCCAUCAGAAAAUGCCACAGAGCUGAGCUGCACACACUGCAAGGCCCCACAUCCUCACACUCACCCCUCAGCCUGUAAACAUGUUUGCAGGGGUGGUCGCGGGGUGCCACCAAGCUACCCAUGUGGGUCAGAAGCACAGACAAGGGAGCAGGUGACCCCACCCCACAGACUCGGCCAGACCGAGUGGGCACCUCCCGCCUUUCUGUGUCCCCUGCAGUGCACACACACACACACACACACACACACACACACACACACACACGCCAUGGCCCUAGGUCACUGACUGAUCCGAGUCCAGCCCUUCUUUUGUGGAACCUGUAACCAGCAGAUUCACUGGACAUCAAACCAUUUAGUGGCUCAUUCUCCCCACAUAUUAAAGAAAACUUCUAAGUUUCCCUUGAGGCAAAGCUUUCAGGUUCAUGCCAGAUACAGAAUUUUUCCUAAAAGUUAUUGGGGUCGUCCUAAGGGUCCCGCAGUAAAGUUGAUAUCUAGGUUCUCGUAGAAUAGAAUUGGUGAUCAAAGCACCCUGCAAAAUACAUUUUUACCCCUAUAAGAUUAGCACAUGUUAUUUGUACCAGACUCCCCAGGGCAUAAAAGAGGAAGAGCCCUGUACUGGUUCCCGGAUGGCCAUGAGUUCCAGCGCUGCCCUUUGCCUCCCGUGUUGGCAGGUGGAAGACCCUACGCCGACGGGCCGCCUCCAGCUUCCAGCUUAGGCGGGGUGCACCCCCUGUCCUGCCACAAAUGUGACAAAUGCUCAAUAAACCAUUGCAUAUGGAAGAUUUUUGACUCUUGGAAUUUUUGGUCUUUUUUUUCUGGUACUGGGGAUCAAACUCAGGACCUCGCACUUUCGAGGCAGGAAUGGUGCCACUGAGCUACAUCCCCAGUCCUACUCUUAGAAUCUUUGUUCUGCAGACGAACUGACUCCCUUUGGCUCCUGCCAGGUCCAGGGCAGCCGAGCUCAGAGCUCCUCUGGACUCACGAGUGGCCUCCGCGUCCACUGGUGACCGUCUUCUGUGUGUGCACUGGAAUGUUGGUUCGCUGAAUACUUUCCUCUUCAGCUGCAUUACACACUGCUAAGUGGGUUUUCAAAGCAGUGGUAUAAAUUUACAUACCUUCCACAUAAAAUUUCUCCUGCUUUAUGUCAUUGUCAACAUUUUAAAGAUGAAGUUUUGUUCAAAGUGAGCCAUUCUGGUGAGUGGUAUCUCACUGUGGCUUUAAACUUGCAUUUCCACAAGUGUUUCUUGUUUACUGUCCUGUUACCCAGUAAACUUAGGAAAUUCACUUAUUAAUUCUCAUAAUUUACAUGUGGCUUCUUUUGUUUUCUGUCUGUACACAGUCAUAUAAUCUGAAAAUAACAGUAGUUUCCUUUCUUUCUUUGCUUUGUGUUUAUUUUUUCUGUGUUGAUUUUCUAGACCCCAGAGAUUUUUGGAUCAAAGGAUGUUCCCAAGGUCUCAGCUAACCAAACUGAGAAUUAGCUUGCAAAAGUUAUCUGCAAUGAUAAACUUUAUGGUAGAAUUGGCGAUAACCCCUCCUAGCUCAUCCAUCUGGCAAUAUGGAGUAAUUAUCAAAGCAGAACUAUUGCUCCCAAGUCCAUCAGAUGGGGAACUGGGGAAAGGUCCUGAGCACUCACAGCUCUUCCACUUUUCAUUCACCAGUGAGGUUUUCUGAGGCUCAACCUGAUACCAGAAAAAGGGCAGAGCUGAACUUCCUUGUGACUUCCUUGAAACACGGUCUCACUAUGGACUUCAGACAGGCCUCGAACUUGUGAUCCGCCUGCCUCAGCCUCCUGGGACGAUAGGUGUACACCACCACAUGCGGCCCUCUCUUGUGACUUGUGACUGUGCAAACAGGCUGUAAAGCAGGGGCCCAGCUUGGGGUUAAGGACUGGAAUUGCUUCACCCAGGAGUCAGAUGAGGCACCUGGGUGUGGUCCUCAUGACAGAAUCCACAUAACCACGGAAUUCACGGCAGUUUCGUUUUCUCUGUUUAGAAUUCUGGCAAGACAGGCCUGUGUUUUUAAAAAUUAUUGCAGCUCUGUGAAUCAAACCAAAGAUUAAGUGAAAACACCAGUAAACAGAACCAAUAAAUCAUUAACUUAGAGAACAGACCUUCUAGGCCUGUUGCCUGGAUUGCUUUGCUCAGUAACAGAAGGGUCAAGGACUUCUCUGGGAAAGGUGAUAAUGCGUUCACCAAGCAUGAACGCAUUUCUCCUGAGCCUGCUCCACAGUGAAGGGCUGAAAGCGAUGCUAUAUCGCCCCCUAGUGGUAGCCAAACCUAUAUUCACUCUGAAGCAAACAAAAAUGGGCUUGGGGAUUAGUCAGCACACUUUGAUGAAGCCUGCAAUGAAUCACAUGUGGCAGAUACUGAAACGUAAUCAUUCCAAGACUUCCCUGCCUUCUGUUUUAUUUCUAAAAAUUUUCACCUUAGCAUUUUACUGGGAUAUAUUUGAGCAAUGAAGGGAAAAUCAGUAGCAAUGUAUACAGCACAUACAACCAUGUGACACACGUGGAAGUAAAUUGACAAGCAUGUGGGACAGGUUUCCCAAGACAGAGUUCCAUGGUUGUAAUGUGCACGUGGUAGACAUGAGUCCACACAGGCCAGAGAAGUGAUUCCAGAAAAGCAUAUCUAAGUAGGCAUGUCUAAAAGGAUAUUACUAUUAAGAAGUAUCCCUUUUAGGGCUGGGGAUUUAGCUCAGUGGUGCUGCCACCUGCCUCAAAAGUGCAAGGUCCUGAGUUUGAUCCCUGGUACAAAAAAAAAGAAGAGAAGUAUCCCUUUUAUUUAUUUAUUUUUAUUUGUUUAUUUAUUUUUGUACUGGGGAUCGAACUCCAGUCCUUGUGCUUGCACAGCAGGCAGCAAAACCACUGAGCUAAAUCCCCGGCCCUUAUCCCUUUUAAUUUUAUCUUAUUUUCCCCAGCUCUAUUAAGGUAUAAUUUACAGACUAAAAUUGCACAUAUUUACAGUGUGCAACUUGAUAUUCUGAUACAUGUAUGCAUCGUGAAAUGAUUAAAUCAAGCUAAUUAACAUGUGCAUCACCUCACAGACUUUUUUGUGGUGGGAACAUUUAACAUCUAGUCUCUUAGCAAUUUUGACAUUGCAAUGGUGUUGACCCCCUGAACCCCAAGGUUUGACACCCACGGAUUCAACCAACAGAGGGUCAGAAAGGUAAUUAGCCCUAAAACGGAUGCAUCUGUACUGAAUAUAUACACACCCUUUUUCGUGUUAUCCCCUAAACAAUACAGUCUAACCAUUAUCACAUGGCAUUUACACUGUAUUAGGUAUCAUAAGUAAUCUAGAGGUGAGUGAAAGUAUGCAAGAGGAUGAAUGUAGAUUAUGUACAAUUAUGACACUUUGGGUAAAGAACUUGAGCAUUUGUGGAUUUUGGUAUCCUUCAGGCGUCCUGGAACAAAUGCCCCCCUGGUUAGAAGUUGACUAUUCUUAUUUACUCUAUCAUCAUGCUAUACAGUAAACCUCCAGGACUUGUCUCUCCAUCUAACUGAAACUUUAUCCUUUGACCAACAUCUUUCCACUUCUCCCAGCCCCCGGUAGCCACUAUUCUAUCCUCUGCUUUAUGAAUUGGCUCUUAAUUCCAUGCAUGAAUGAGAUUACAUAGUAUUUGCCUUCUGUGCCUGGCUUAUUUCCCUCGACAUGAUGUCCUCUGGGUAGAUCCAUAUUGUUGCAAAUGACACGGUUUCCUUUUUUGUCCAAAAGCCCAAUAGCAUUCCAUUUUGUGUAUGAAUGUGCAAUGUCUAUGAGUGUGGCUGGGGCAUAUAUUGUACUUGACGGCUCUGAAGACAUCUAGAUGCUUAUGGGGCCAUACAUUAGUGACCUCUGUGUUUUAAGUCUGGAAAACCUUAGGCUGGGGCAUUUUGGACUGAGGAUCACUGUGCUACUGUGGGUGAUGGGAUCUGGAACAGGCUCCUAGGUUCUUGCAUGAGAUGAACAAACAGCUGGACGUGGCACACUAAGGUAAGGAAACAGCAGAGAGGUUUAUUAAGGUGAUAGUGCACUCAGACAGCAGGCUCUCACCUGUGACAGAAAAGUGGCCUGGGCACUGGGGGCAUAAGGUGCAGGGGUUUAAAAUGUUGCACAGGUUCUGGGGUGACUCCCUUUGUGGUCUUCAAGAUCGUGAUUGACAGGAUUGACAGGGCGCUGAGUCAUGUCAGCUGCACCUACUGCACAUGUCCUUUUCCAUAAUUCACUGUCAGAAUUGGAUGCAAGAGAUGCAGUCCAUGCACCUGAACCUUCUAUGAGCUCCAGGUGAAGAAAGGUUACUUCAGGUCAUGGCGGUGGGCCUGGUGCAUACGCCUCUUGAUUUGGAAUUUUGGAAUUUUCCAAAGGAGGCUUAGGGGUCUUUGGAUUUCUUUACUCUGCCUCCAUGUAAUGUAAGCUUUAGGAUUGGGGCAGAGGGCUUGGCCCUGGGGCGUUGCUCAGGUUCAGGUGAGUGGAGGGAGUGGCCUGUAG